Molecule: ribosomal RNA, 1470 nt
Filed under: uncultured Bordetella sp.
Lineage: Bacteria; Pseudomonadati; Pseudomonadota; Betaproteobacteria; Burkholderiales; Alcaligenaceae
Description: partial 16S-23S ribosomal RNA intergenic spacer
Rfam family: Bacterial small subunit ribosomal RNA
Source: RNAcentral
GGUUCGAUUCUGGCUCCAGAUUGAACGCUGGCGGGAUGCUUUACACAUACAAGUCGAACGGCAGCACGGACUUCGGUCUGGUGGCGAGUGGCGAACGGGGUGAGGUAAUGUAUCAGAACAUUCAUCAGCGGGGGAUAACUACGCAGCGUAGCUAAUACCGCCCUUCCAGGAGGCGCGCGGGGAUGCCAGACUCCUUUUUCAUCAGUGACCGAUAUCGGAUUAGCUAUAGUUGGUGAGGUAACGAGCUCACCAAGGCGACGAUCCGUAGCUGGUUUGAGAAGGCGACCAGCCACACUGGGACUGAGACACGGCCAGACUCCCUACGGGGAGGCAGCAGUGGGGAAUUUUGGACAAUGAGGAAACCUGAUCACGGCAGCCAUCCCGCGUGUGCGAUGAGCCUUCAGGUUGUAAAGCACUUUUGGCAGGAAAGAAACGGCGGAUAAUACCCGUUACAGCUGGCGAACACCUGCAAGAAUGGCACCGGCUAACUACGUUCCAGCAACCGCGGUAAUACGUAGAGCCGCAAGCGUUAAUCGGAAUUACUGGGCGUAAAGCGUGCAGAGCGGUUCUUCGGAAAGAAAAGAUGUAAAAUCCCGGAAGCUUAGCUUUGGAACUGCAUUUUUAACUACAAACUAGAGUGUGUCAGAGGGAAGUGCGUUCCGCGUCAUAGCAGUGAAAUGCGUAGAUAUGCGGAGCACCGAUGUGAGCAGCCUCCUGGGAUAACACUAAACGCUCCCUUUGCAACUUGAUAGGAGCAAACAGGAUUAGGUACCUGGUGAUCACGCCUAAACGAUGUCAACUGGCUAUUUGGGGCCUUCAGGCCUUGGUAACAAUACUUUGUGAAAGUUGACCGCCUGGGGAGUACGGUCGCAAGAUUAAAACUCAAAGGAAUUGACGGGGACCCACUGCGAGUGGAUGUGUGGAUUAAUAAUUGAUACAGCACUUGAAAAACCUUACACCUACCCUUGACGUAUCUGGAAUCUCCAAAGAGAUUUGGGAGUGCUCGCAAGAGAACCGGAACACAGGUGCUGCAUGGCUGUCGUCCAGCUCGUGUCGUGAGAUGUUGGGUUAAGUCCCGCAACGAGCGCAACCCUUGUCAUUAGUUGCUGCAGGGGCACUCCUGGCCUGAGACUGCCGGUGACAAACCGGAGGAAGGUGGGGAUGACGUCAGGGCCUCAUGGCCCUUAUGGGUAGGGCUUCACGUCAUACAAUGGUCGGGACAGAGGGGUCGCCAACGCGAGGGGGAGCAAUCCCAGAAGCCCGAUCGUAGUCCGGAUCGCAGGAUCCCAACUCGACUGCGUGAAGUCGGAAUCGCUAGUAAUCGCGGAUCAGCAUGUCGCGGUGAAUACGUGCAGGUCUUGUACACACCGCCCGUCACACCAUGGGAGUGGGUUUCAAGUAGUUAGCCUAACCGUAAGGCGAUUACCACGGUAGAGUUGUGACUGGGAAGGUGAAGUCGUAACAAGGUAA